UACGUAGGGGGCUAGCGUUGUCCGGAUUUAUUGGGCGUAAAGAGCGUGUAGGCGGCCAGGUAGGUCCGUUGUGAAAACUCGAGGCUCAACCUCGAGACGCCGGUGGAAACCGUAAAGCUAGAGUCCGGAAGAGGAGAGUGGAAUUCCUGGUGUAGCGGUGAAAUGCGCAGAUAUCAGGAGGAACACCCGUGGCGAAAGCGGCUCUCUGGGACGGUACUGACGCUGAGACGCGAAAGCGUGGGGAGCAAACAGG
Molecule: ribosomal RNA, 253 nt
Filed under: uncultured bacterium
Lineage: Bacteria
Description: partial 16S ribosomal RNA
Rfam family: Bacterial small subunit ribosomal RNA
Source: RNAcentral